Molecule: ribosomal RNA, 387 nt
Filed under: uncultured bacterium
Lineage: Bacteria
Description: bacterial SSU rRNA
Rfam family: Bacterial small subunit ribosomal RNA
Source: RNAcentral
AUUGAACGCUGGCGGCAUGCUUUACACAUGCAAGUCGAACGGUAACAGGCCGCAAGGUGCUGACGAGUGGCGAACGGGUGAGUAAUGCAUCGGAACGUGCCCAGUCGUGGGGGAUAACUACUCGAAAGAGUAGCUAAUACCGCAUACGAUCUAUGGAUGAAAGCGGGGGACCGUAAGGCCUCGCGCGAUUGGAGCGGCCGAUGUCAGAUUAGGUAGUUGGUGGGGUAAAGGCUCACCAAGCCAACGAUCUGUAGCUGGUUUGAGAGGACGACCAGCCACACUGGGACUGAGACACGGCCCAGACUCCUACGGGAGGCAGCAGUGGGGAAUUUUGGACAAUGGGCGCAAGCCUGAUCCAGCAAUGCCGCGUGCAGGAAGAAGGCCUUC